Molecule: non-coding RNA, 1239 nt
Organism: Nothobranchius furzeri (turquoise killifish)
Lineage: Eukaryota; Metazoa; Chordata; Actinopteri; Cyprinodontiformes; Nothobranchiidae
Source: RefSeq, a predicted model, not a curated record
GCUCUCCGUCAUCUCAACCUUGUUCCACACCUGCUCGGGCCUUUUAAAGAAUUUUUCUACUUUUAACUGAACUUUGGACUAGAUAAUCUAGAGCGAGUUUAACGUGCUCUCUAGAUAGGGCUGGGCAAUAAAUUAAAAAUGUAUCGUUAUCGAAAUUUUUGACUUUAAUCGAGAUUAUUUUUCCCAUGUCAACAAAUCUGAUAAUAAAAAAAAAGAAAAAAAUGUGUGUAGGACGGCAACGUUCAUAUUCCUUUAAGAAGCUGUACCACCUUGAGUCAUGUAAAAAUGUGACUCAAUGUAAUGUGACAGCCCCAUCUAGUGGACAACUUUUGUUUCUGUGCCUACCUGUAGUUAUCGUCAAUUUAUCGUUAUCGAGGUGAAGUCCCCAAUAUAUCGUGAUAUUAAUUUUAGGCCAAAUCGCCCAGCCCUCCUCUCUUGUAUACCAUCGGCAUGCUCAGUGUUUAGUGUGUUCCCCGGAAUGUGUGUACACAAGUAUUUCAACAGUUUAGAGUAGAGCUGAAACAACUAAUCGAUUUAAUCGAUUAUAAUCGAUUAUUAAAAUAGUUAACAACUUUUUUAGUCAUCGAUUAGUUGUUUAAUAAUCAUUUUACCGCAUAAAGUCUAUUUUUUACCACAAUCUGACAUUGGUUACAAUCUGUUAAAUUUGCCGCCAGUGUGUGGCAGUAAUGAGCCACUGAUCUACCAGUGGAGCCGUAGAAGAAGAAAUGAGCCAAUAAGUGCCCUCGGUUUUCAUGACGUAUCACGUUACUGACGCGCAUCUUGCUGUGAGAGAUGGCGGAACAACAACAAAUACGGAAGAAAAAUAGAAGCGACAAAACAAGAGAAACCCCGGACAAAAACCUCACGAGUAUGGGAGCACUUCACUAGAUGCCUUGAAAAGACCGGUGACCUACAAAAUAUGCAAAAACCAUGGCACGACGGAAGCACGACGUCCCUAAGUGAACAUUUGAGACGAAAACGUGGGGGCUGAUGCAGCAGAGGAAUGUCCGAAAAAAACAAGCAACGAUGGACAACUACAUGGGGAACAAGACACUCACCCCCAGCAAUGCAUACCACUUACAAACUCUAUUCCAGAUUCUACAUUAUUUUUUAUGGAAUUUACCGCUUAUAUUUUGAUGCCAAAAAAUUAUUCUGGACUGAUAUUUUGCACUGUUUAGCUCAUUUUACACUGCUGACUGUGGUCAUGUGCAAUAAAAUAGAUUGCAGUCAACUGCACAA